CAGUAAUUUAAGUUUGGAAGUAUCAUCUAAGAUUUGUACGCAAGAUCGAUUUAAAUUAGCAUCUUGGGGUCUUCCAUCGCUUAUUCUUCAGAAAUAUGAAGCGAAAGGAAUAUCAGAAAUGUUUCCAUGGGAAAACAUUGGUAGCAGAGAUUCUUCUUUUAAAGACGGUGCUGGAAUGUAAAAAGAAAGCCAUUUUUGUUUUACCAUUUGUUUCUGUUGUAAGAGAAAAAAUGUAUUAUUUUAAGGAUCUUUUAUCAGAAUACGGGAUUCAUGUUGAAGGAUUCAUGGGAGGUAUAAAUCCACCUGGUGGAUUUACAGCUACCGACAUUGCCAUAGCAACUAUAGAAAAAGCUAAUUCUAUAAUUAAUCAUUUAAUGGAAGAAGGAGAUUUGUCUACGUUGGGUGCAAUUGUAAUAGAUGAAUUGCAUUUGCUGGGUGAUCCUAAUCGUGGUUAUCUCCUAGAAUUAUUACUUACCAAACUAAAAUAUAUGACAUUACGGAAGAAAGAUAUUAACAUACAAUUAAUCGGUAUGUCUGCUACGCUUCCAAAUUUGACCCUGUUAGCGGAUUGGUUAGAUGCUGAAUUGUAUAAAACUGAAUUCAGACCUAUACCAUUACACGAGCUAUGUAAAAUUGGAAAAAGCAUAUACGAUAGCAAGUUAAAAUUACUUAGAAAUUUAGUAUCUUCGUCUGAAUUAUUGAUGGAUGCCGAUGAUAUUUUACAAUUGUGCAUGGAAACUAUAUCCGAUGGUAAAAGUAUUUUAAUAUUUUGUCCAACUAAAAAUUGGUGCGAAAAAUUGGCAUAUCAAGUAGCGCUAACAUUUUAUAAAUUAGGUCAAAAAGAUACAUCGCUUGGUAAUAUUUUAAAAGAACAAUUAAACAGUACAGCUAUUCUUGAAACUAUUGAACAAUUGAAACGUUGUCCAUGCGGGUUAGAUAAUUCCUUGAAAAAUUCAAUUUCAUUUGGCGUUGCUUUUCAUCAUGCUGGUUUGACAAUGGAUGAACGUGAUGUUAUUGAAGGAGCCUUCAGAUCAGGAUCUCUGAGAGUUCUUAUAGCAACAUCAACGUUAAGUAGUGGAGUUAAUUUACCUGCAAGAAGAGUCAUUAUUAGAUCUCCAAUGUUCGGCGGUAAAAUACUGGAUACUUUGACGUAUAAACAAAUGAUUGGAAGAGCUGGUCGAAUGGGAAGUGAUACUGCAGGAGAGAGUAUUUUAAUAUGUAAACCGAAUGAACGCAAAGCAGCAGAAUGUUUAUUAUCAGCAACAUUAAAACCGAUAGAAUCAUGUUUGGAGGAUUCUAAUCCUUUAAUCAGAACACUUUUAGAAGCCAUAGCUAGUGAAGUGGUAUAUACGAAAGUUGAUCUUGAACUUUAUAUGAAUUGUACUUUAGCGAGUAUAAAUAAAAAAGAUGUUAUGACAAAUUUAUCCACUAAUGCAAUUAAAUAUUUAAUGGAUAAUGAAUUUUUAAUAUUACAAGCUACAGAACAAGAAGAAAGAUGGGUUGCAACGCCUUUGGGAAAAGCAUGUCUCUCUGCAUCCAUCUCACCAAUAGAAGGAUUAUUUUUAUUUGAAGAAUUGCAAAGAGCUAGAAGAUGUUUUGUCUUAGACACUGAAUUGCACGUCGUUUAUUUAGUAACUCCAGUGAACGAUGGUAGUCAAAUAUCGACAAUAGAUUGGAUGGUAUUUCUGGAAUUAUGGAAAUCAAUAUCGGAAAGCGAACGAAGAGUUGGUCAACUUAUAGGCAUAGAAGAGCGUUUUCUAAUGUCAGCUAUUAGAGGAAUUGUGAAACCAGGCAAGCUACUGAGAAUACACAAACGGUUUUACACGGCGUUAGCUUUACAUGAUCUGGUACGAGAAAUUCCUUUGAAUACAGUUUGUAGCAAAUAUAAUUGCUGUCGUGGAGUACUACAAAGUUUACAACAAAGUGCUUCCACGUUUGCUGGAAUGGUUACACAAUUUUGUAAACAACUUGGUUGGGAUUGCAUGGAGUUAUUGGUGGGACAAUUUAAAACGCGUCUACAAUUUGGAGUAUGUAGAGAAUUGUUAGAUUUACUGCGUAUUUCAAUGUUAAAUGGAUUACGAGCAAGGAGCCUAUUUAAACAAGGAAUUACUACUGUAGCAGAUUUAGCUGUCGCUAACAUUCUUGACAUUGAACGAGCAUUGUAUAAAGCAUUACCAUUUGAAAGUGAAAAGGAACACGAUGGAGAACAUGAAUUGGAAGCUAUUACGAGAAAUAAAAUGAGAACUGUAUUCGUUACAGGAAAAGAUGGUCUUACACCUCAUGAAGCUGCUAUUUUAUUAGUCGAAGAAGCUAGAAUAUUAAUUCAGAAUGAAUUAGGUUUACAAAAUAUGCCAUGGUCGCAUAAUAAUAGCAUAGUCGCUGAUACUACAUCUAACAGUAAUAAUCAAUCUAAUUUAUCGAAAGAUAUUGCUGUAGAAAAUGAUAAUACAAAUAAGAAGAUAAAUUACACAGAUAUGUCAGAAAAAAGAAUGGAAGAUAUAGAUAAAAGUAAAAAGAAUUCUUCUUGCAUUCAUUCAGACGUAGAUGUCUCGUCACUGCAUAAACAAAAUGAGAUUACGGAACAUAUUAACAUCAUCAAUAAAAAUUUAGAAAAUAAAUCGCAUUGCUCGAAAGAUUUAAAUAUUGAUUUUGAAAGUAGAUGUGACAGCAAGUCAUUAAUUACUUUUGAUAGAAAAAGAAUUGAUGAAGAAAAUAAUACCGAUGAUAAUAAUUUAUUAAUGUAUUGUAAAGGUGAAAAUCUAAGCGAAUCUAAAAAAAUUAUGAAAUAUUCUGCUUCAAGAAGUCCCAGUUUAUUCGAUGAAAGUUUAAAUCUUGACACACAAUUGUACAAUGCACUUGAAGAAAAUAUCGUCGGUACUUUACAUUUUUCUUCGUAUAUAAACAUUAACAUAACACCUAAUAAAAUGAAAAAUGAAACAAGUACGAAAAGUUCAAACAAGUUAUUAAAUCAUGAAGUCAAAAAUAAUUUGCCAAUGGCAGAAUUAAAUUCAAAUGAAAAGAUUCUAUCGCACAAACCUUCUUCUUCUGAUACGCAAAUAAAAGAUGCAAUAAUAACAUGGAAUGAUGAUUCCUGGAACGAAUCCAAAUUAUUGAAAAAAAUUAGUGAAGUAAAUAAAGAGAAUAUAGAAGUUUUAAAUAACAGUAUCAACGAUAUGAAAAAUAUAAAAAACGUAUCAGAAAAUAAUGACCAAAAAAAUGAUGUAGAAUCUUGCAAUUGUAUUCUCGGACAAGAUGUUAACAAAAUAUCAUCUAACUACAAUUUACGAAGACUUUCCGAUAAAAAACCUUCCAUAGCAAAGGAAACUACUUUAAAUCUUGAUCGUAAAAUAUCAUUAAAUUCUAAUAAUUCGGAUGUCAUAAUGGGUUCCCCGACAGAAGUUCAAACAAAAUUAAAAUUAAAGAAGACACAGAAAAUCCCUGUUAAAGUUUAUAGAGAUAAAUUACCUAAAUCUGCAACUUCAACCAGUGUUUACAAAAAUAUUACAAAGACUACCAAUAGUAAGAUAAUAAAUAAAACUAAACCAAAAUUAAAACAAUUAUUAGAACGAAACAUUCUUCUUGGUGCAAAUUACAGUUCGGAUAGCAUCGUAUCAAACUCGGAUGAAGAAACACCAAUUAAAAAAGCAAAAAUAGUUAGAGGAUGUAAAACAUCUUUACCUGUUAUUAAAACAAGUUCAUCGCAUGUCCAACAAAUUAAAUCAGACGUACAAAUAAAUUUAUGUUCUCACAAAAUAGAACAUAUAGAUGAAAGUAUUGAUUGGAAUACAUUAAAUAUUGUUAAAGUUGGAAGCGAUAAAGCGACGUUUAAUUUAUUUAAACGUGAAAUUAUGAAGAAUAAAAGUAUCGCGUUGGCUUUACAUUGCGAAUCUUACGUAAACGAAUGUAACAGUAUAGGAAAUAAAAUUAUUAAUUCCACUACCGACGUUAAAAACAGAUCAAGAAAAAUUGAACAAUUCAUCGCUGAGGAUAAAAAAAUUUGUGGCGCCGCUAUUUCUUGGGAAAAAAAUAUUGCAUAUUAUAUUUCAUUUUGCGAAAUGAAAGAUUUAAAAGUAUCAAUUAAAGAACAAAUAAAUUUCUUUAAAGAAUUACUUUCUAAUACAUCAUUGUAUAUAAGAUGUUUUUCAACUAAGAAGUUGUAUAAAACACUGUAUCAAUGUUUCCAAGUAGCAGCCACUUGUAGAUUUUUAGAUCCUUAUACUGCGAAUUGGUUGCUACAUGGUAGUAUUUCUGAAAAAAAGUGGAACGAGAUGGUGUUGGAGUAUUUUCCUUUAGGAUCCUUCAUAGUGAAACACUUCGAUGCUAAAACAAACGUAAAAAAUAAAUUACCAUUGGAAUUUAAAGCAUCCACUAAAGCUGUUCUUACAUGGCACGUUAUGGAAACAUUAUUAAACAAAUUGGAAGAACUCUGUCCAAUAUUACUUUAUACAUUUAAAGAAAUCGAGAUGAGAUCUAUUACACUGUUAGCUCGCAUGGAAUUAACAGGAUUUGGUAUAAAUUUAAAAUCUUUGCAAGAAUUGUCACACGUUAUAGAAGUUGAAAUGUCUUCUUUGGAAGAACGUGCGUUUUCUUUAACGGGACGAAAAUUUAAUUUUUCAUCAUCCAAAGAAGUCAGUCAGAUUUUGGGAUUAUAUAAAGGGAAAAAAAUAAGUACCAAUAAAGCAGUUUUGGCACAACAUAAUAAUCCAAUCUCAAGCCUUAUUAUUUCUUGGCGUAAAUUAAACACAACUCAAACCAAGAUCGUUUAUCCGUUGUUAAAUCUUGGCCAAAAUAGUUCAAGAAUUUAUGGGGAUUCUGAAACUUUCACAUUGACUGGAAGAAUUUCUAUGCACGAACCUAACUUGCAAAACGUACCUAAAGAUUUCAAUUCAGAAGAUAAUACUUUUGUAAUAAGCGUUCGUAUGGCAUUUAUACCAAUCGAAGGAAACGUUCUAUUAUCGGCAGAUUAUUGUCAACUUGAAUUAAGAAUAUUAGCUCAUUUUUCGAAGGAUCCGAUACUUUGUAAUAUUCUAUGCAAGGAAGGUGAUAUUUUUAAAAAUAUUGCUGCUACAUGGAACAAUGUAUCGGAAGAUCAGAUCGAUGAUAAUAUGCGACAAAAUACUAAACAAUUGUGCUAUGGUAUGAUUUACGGUAUGGGUGUCAAAACGUUAGCAGAAAAUUUAAAAGUAACAGAAACAGAAGCUAAAACAUUUUUAGAAUCUUUCAUAAAUGCAUACCCAGGCAUAAACAAAUGGCUUAAAAAUGUUAAUUUAGAAGCGCAUAAAAAUGGAUACAUUACGACAUUAAUGGAAAGACGUAGAAUGCUUCCUGGUUUAAAAAGUACUAAUCUGUAUGAAAAAGCACAAGCGGAAAGACAAGCAGUGAAUACUAAAGUACAAGGUUCUGCAGCAGACAUAGCAAAACAAGCUAUGAUUAACAUAGAAGAUAGAAUACGAAACGAAUUUCCAAACUCAGCGAUUGUCAUACCAAAGAUAGGAAUUAAACAAAAAUUAAGAAAACAGCGAAAGAAUGACAAUUUAAGAGGUGCUUAUUUAGUACUACAACUUCAUGAUGAGUUAUUGUACGAGGUAAAUAUAAUGGAUUUACAAAAAGUAGCUUUAAUAAUUAAAGAAUCCAUGGAACAAGUAUGUCAACUUGCGGUACCAUUACCAGUAAAAAUAAAAGUCGGACCUGCUUGGGGUGAUCUAAAGGAGUAUCAUAUUUAAUCUUUUAGCUACUAUAAAGGUAUUUCUUUAUAACAAAUUUUUGAUACGUCAAUAUCCAUGAAAACUACUAUAGUAAUGUGCUGUGCCUGAGAGGUAAAUUAUUAAUAAUUAUCCAAUGCGAUAAUUAAUAAGAUAAAAUAAGAUUUUAUAUGGUAAGAUAAAUCUUAUUACAUAACUAAAGUUAAACGACAAUCAAUUAUUAAUAUUUCUUUUAUUUUUAACUUAUUUAUAAAUAUUCACAUUAUAUGAAAAUUAUUUUGUUUAAUCAUGAAAUUGAAAAUCAUAUUUACAGCAUGAAUAAUGUUUCGAAUAUAAAAAAAUAUUAUUUACUGCAUUGUUAUACACUAGGAUUGAUGAAAAUGGUGGUGCUAACGAUUGAUGUAACUUCAUUACAGCCGUUUGUACUAUUUGUUGGAAAGUCUCAUCAUCUUUGCUGGAACAGAGUCUUCUCCAAACAUUUCUUGCAACAUUUCAAUAAGACAUUCUUUGAAAUGCAUUCUAUCCAUUUUAGUUGGCGCGGGUAACAUUUUAGGAGGUUGUUCCAUCAUCUCGGCUUGCAAUAUUGCAGUCAAAACAGAGUCAGCGUACAUGUCGUUAACUGGAGUUGCCAUCCAUUCCAUCAUAACAAUUUUACCAUCGAUGGUUACAUCGAUGUUUUUAAAGACUCUUAACUUUUUAUCAUCUAUAACUUCCAAAUUACCAGCUAUUUGUGUUAAGAGAUGUUUUAAUACAGGUAACGAAGCGGAGAAAUAAACGCUUUGCCUUUGGAUAACUUGACUCAUACUCAUAUCUGUAUACUUCGAUAAAUCGCAAGGAGCUAACAUAUGAUAAUUAAAGUUACGUUUGACCAAAA
RNAcentral lists this unclassified non-coding RNA (6576 nucleotides) under Polistes fuscatus (common paper wasp). RNAcentral describes it as "dNA polymerase theta, transcript variant X2". Lineage: Eukaryota; Metazoa; Arthropoda; Insecta; Hymenoptera; Vespidae. The record is from RNAcentral.